Mastomys coucha (southern multimammate mouse) is the source of this 319-nucleotide long non-coding RNA. RefSeq lists it as uncharacterized. The record is from RefSeq and is a predicted model, not a curated record. The transcript is spliced from 2 exons. NCBI's taxonomy places the organism in Eukaryota, Metazoa, Chordata, Mammalia, Rodentia, Muridae.
GAGGUCGUGGGUCAGAGUUUAAUGGCCCCACUCAGUGUAGCCGUUGUCCAAAGUCUGUGUUUUCAGUCUCUCCAUGGAGUAUUAAAGAAGGAAGAGUUCCAGUUAGCCCCAAGAGCCCUCCAGCGCUGAGUUGGAAAGGCCUGGGACUAAAGAUGCUGCCACGAAGCCCGAACCUGCAUUUUUCCAUGGGUGCUGAGGAUCUGAACUCGGGGCGUUAUACUCUGAUGAAUGCAUUUUACUGACCGAGCCAUCUUCUCAGCUCCGCUUAAACAUUCCCCAAAGGAGUAAAUACAAACUGGCGGACACCAGUUUAUGAUCU